Molecule: ribosomal RNA, 253 nt
Filed under: uncultured bacterium
Lineage: Bacteria
Description: partial 16S ribosomal RNA
Rfam family: Bacterial small subunit ribosomal RNA
Source: RNAcentral
GACAGAGGUGCCGAGCGUUAAUCGGAAUUACUGGGCGUAAAGCGUGCGUAGUCGGUUAUUUAAGUCGGGUGUGAAAGCCCCGGGCUCAACCUGGGAAUUGCAUUCGAUACUGGAUAGCUAGAGUUCGGCAGAGGGAAGCGGAAUUUCCGGUGUAGCGGUGAAAUGCGUAGAUAUCGGAAGGAACAUCAGUGGCGAAAGCGGCUUCCUGGACCAGAACUGACGAUCAGGCACGAAAGCGUGGGGAGCAAACAGG